GACGAACGCUAGCGGCGUGCCUAAUACAUGCAAGUUGAGCGAUGAAGCUUGGUGCUUGCACCAAUUUGAAGAGCAGCGAACGGGUGAGUAACGCGUGGGGAAUCUGCCUUUGAGCGGGGGACAACAUUUGGAAACGAAUGCUAAUACCGCAUAACAACUUUAAACAUAAGUUUUAAGUUUGAAAGAUGCAAUUGCAUCACUCAAAGAUGAUCCCGCGUUGUAUUAGCUAGUUGGUGAGGUAAAGGCUCACCAAGGCGAUGAUACAUAGCCGACCUGAGAGGGUGAUCGGCCACAUUGGGAGUGAGACACGGCCCAAACUCCUACGGGAGGCAGCAGUAGGGAAUCUUCGGCAAUGGACGAAAGUCUGACCGAGCAACGCCGCGUGAGUGAAGAAGGUUUUCGGAUCGUAAAACUCUGUUGGUAGAGAAGAACGUUGGUGAGAGUGGAAAGCUCAUCAAGUGACGGUAACUACCCAGAAAGGGACGGCUAACUACGUG
RNAcentral lists this ribosomal RNA (497 nucleotides) under uncultured bacterium. RNAcentral's name for it is "partial 16S ribosomal RNA". It matches the Rfam family "Bacterial small subunit ribosomal RNA", at positions 28 to 507 of the family's 1533-position model. The record is from RNAcentral.